This 205-nucleotide ribosomal RNA is filed under the name uncultured bacterium. RNAcentral describes it as "partial 16S ribosomal RNA". It matches the Rfam family "Bacterial small subunit ribosomal RNA", at positions 568 to 773 of the family's 1533-position model. The record is from RNAcentral.
AGCGCAGGCGGGAAGGCAAGUUGGAAGUGAAAUCCAUGGGCUCAACCCAUGAACUGCUUUCAAAACUGUUUUUCUUGAGUAGUGCAGAGGUAGGCGGAAUUCCCGGUGUAGCGGUGGAAUGCGUAGAUAUCGGGAGGAACACCAGUGGCGAAGGCGGCCUACUGGGCACCAACUGACGCUGAGGCUCGAAAGUGUGGGAGCAAAC